This 253-nucleotide ribosomal RNA is filed under the name uncultured bacterium. Its description in RNAcentral is "partial 16S ribosomal RNA". It matches the Rfam family "Bacterial small subunit ribosomal RNA", at positions 524 to 776 of the family's 1533-position model. The record is from RNAcentral.
UACAGAGGUGGCAAGCGUUGUUCGGAAUUACUGGGCGUAAAGGGCGCGUAGGCGGCCUUCUAAGUCAGACGUGAAAUCCCCCGGCUUAACCUGGGAACUGCGUCUGAUACUGGAGGGCUUGAGUGCGGGAGAGGGAUGUGGAAUUCCAGGUGUAGCGGUGAAAUGCGUAGAUAUCUGGAGGAACACCGGUGGCGAAGGCGACGUCCUGGACCGGCAUUGACGCUGAGGCGCGAAAGCCAGGGGAGCAAACGGG